This 1509-nucleotide ribosomal RNA is filed under the name Helicobacter pylori. RNAcentral describes it as "bacterial SSU rRNA". It matches the Rfam family "Bacterial small subunit ribosomal RNA". The record is from RNAcentral. Lineage: Bacteria; Pseudomonadati; Campylobacterota; Epsilonproteobacteria; Campylobacterales; Helicobacteraceae.
UUUAUGGAGAGUUUGAUCCUGGCUCAGAGUGAACGCUGGCGGCGUGCCUAAUACAUGCAAGUCGAACGAUGAAGCUUCUAGCUUGCUAGAAUGCUGAUUAGUGGCGCACGGGUGAGUAACGCAUAGGUUAUGUGCCUCUUAGUUUGGGAUAGCCAUUGGAAACGAUGAUUAAUACCAGAUACUCCCUACGGGGGAAAGAUUUAUCGCUAAGAGAUCAGCCUAUGUCCUAUCAGCUUGUUGGUAAGGUAAUGGCUUACCAAGGCUAUGACGGGUAUCCGGCCUGAGAGGGUGAACGGACACACUGGAACUGAGACACGGUCCAGACUCCUACGGGAGGCAGCAGUAGGGAAUAUUGCUCAAUGGGGGAAACCCUGAAGCAGCAACGCCGCGUGGAGGAUGAAGGUUUUAGGAUUGUAAACUCCUUUUGUUAGAGAAGAUAAUGACGGUAUCUAACGAAUAAGCACCGGCUAACUCCGUGCCAGCAGCCGCGGUAAUACGGAGGGUGCAAGCGUUACUCGGAAUCACUGGGCGUAAAGAGCGCGUAGGCGGGAUAGUCAGUCAGGUGUGAAAUCCUAUGGCUUAACCAUAGAACUGCAUUUGAAACUACUAUUCUAGAGUGUGGGAGAGGUAGGUGGAAUUCUUGGUGUAGGGGUAAAAUCCGUAGAGAUCAAGAGGAAUACUCAUUGCGAAGGCGACCUGCUGGAACAUUACUGACGCUGAUUGCGCGAAAGCGUGGGGAGCAAACAGGAUUAGAUACCCUGGUAGUCCACGCCCUAAACGAUGGAUGCUAGUUGUUGGAGGGCUUAGUCUCUCCAGUAAUGCAGCUAACGCAUUAAGCAUCCCGCCUGGGGAGUACGGUCGCAAGAUUAAAACUCAAAGGAAUAGACGGGGACCCGCACAAGCGGUGGAGCAUGUGGUUUAAUUCGAAGAUACACGAAGAACCUUACCUAGGCUUGACAUUGAGAGAAUCCGCUAGAAAUAGUGGAGUGUCUAGCUUGCUAGACCUUGAAAACAGGUGCUGCACGGCUGUCGUCAGCUCGUGUCGUGAGAUGUUGGGUUAAGUCCCGCAACGAGCGCAACCCCCUUUCUUAGUUGCUAACAGGUUAUGCUGAGAACUCUAAGGAUACUGCCUCCGUAAGGAGGAGGAAGGUGGGGACGACGUCAAGUCAUCAUGGCCCUUACGCCUAGGGCUACACACGUGCUACAAUGGGGUGCACAAAGAGAAGCAAUACUGCGAAGUGGAGCCAAUCUUCAAAACAUCUCUCAGUUCGGAUUGUAGGCUGCAACUCGCCUGCAUGAAGCUGGAAUCGCUAGUAAUCGCAAAUCAGCCAUGUUGCGGUGAAUACGUUCCCGGGUCUUGUACUCACCGCCCGUCACACCAUGGGAGUUGUGUUUGCCUUAAGUCAGGAUGCUAAAUUGGCUACUGCCCACGGCACACACAGCGACUGGGGUGAAGUCGUAACAAGGUAACCGUAGGUGAACCUGCGGUUGGAUCACCUCCUUUCUAGA